UGGGGAAUUUUGGACAAUGGGGGAAACCCUGAUCCAGCCAUCCCGCGUGUGCGAUGAAGGCCUUCGGGUUGUAAAGCACUUUUGGCAGGAAAGAAACGUCAUGGGUUAAUACCCCGUGAAACUGACGGUACCUGCAGAAUAAGCACCGGCUAACUACGUGCCAGCAGCCGCGGUAAUACGUAGGGUGCAAGCGUUAAUCGGAAUUACUGGGCGUAAAGCGUGCGCAGGCGGUUCGGAAAGAAAGAUGUGAAAUCCCAGAGCCCAACUUUGGAACUGCAUUUUUAACUACCGGGCUAGAGUGUGUCAGAGGGAGGUGGAAUUCCGCGUGUAGCAGUGAAAUGCGUAGAUAUGCGGAGGAACACCGAUGGCGAAGGCAGCCUCCUGGAAUAACACUGACGCUCAUGCACGAAAGCGUGGGGAGCAAACAGG
RNAcentral lists this ribosomal RNA (429 nucleotides) under Acidobacteriota bacterium. Its description in RNAcentral is "Acidobacteria bacterium partial 16S ribosomal RNA". It matches the Rfam family "Bacterial small subunit ribosomal RNA", at positions 355 to 776 of the family's 1533-position model. Lineage: Bacteria; Pseudomonadati; Acidobacteriota. The record is from RNAcentral.